GAUGAACGCUGGCGGCGUGCCUAAUACAUGCAAGUCGAGCGAACAGACGAGGAGCUUGCUCCUCUGACGUUAGCGGCGGACGGGUGAGUCACACGAGGAUAACCCCCCUAUCAGACUGGGAUAACUUCGGGAAACCGGAGCUAAUACCGGACAAUAUAUUGAACCGCAUGGUUCAAUAGUGAAAGACGGUUUUGCUGUCACUUAUAGAUGGAUCCGCGCCGCAUUAGCUAGUUGGUAAGGUAACGGCUUACCACGGGGACGAUGCGUAGCCGACCUGAGCGGGUGAUCGGCCACACUGGAACUUAGACACCGUCCAGACUCCUGCGGGAGGCAGCAGUAGGGAAUCUUCCGCAAUGGGCGAAAGCCUGACGGAGCGACGCCGCGUGAGUGAUGAAGGUCUUCGGUUCGUAAAACCCGGUUAUUAGUGAAGAACAAAUGUGUAAGUAACUAUGCACGUCUUGACGGUACCUAAUCAGAAAGCCCCGGCUAACUACGUG
Molecule: ribosomal RNA, 497 nt
Filed under: uncultured bacterium
Lineage: Bacteria
Description: partial 16S ribosomal RNA
Rfam family: Bacterial small subunit ribosomal RNA
Source: RNAcentral